RNAcentral lists this ribosomal RNA (301 nucleotides) under uncultured bacterium. Its description in RNAcentral is "partial 16S ribosomal RNA". It matches the Rfam family "Bacterial small subunit ribosomal RNA", at positions 509 to 807 of the family's 1533-position model. The record is from RNAcentral.
CAGCAGCCGCGGGAAUACGUAGGGUGCAAGCGUUAAUCGGAAUUACUGGGCGUAAAGCGUGCGCAGGCGGUUCUAUAAGACAGAUGUGAAAUCCCCGGGCUCAACCUGGGAACUGCAUUUGUGACUGUAGAGCUGGAGUGCGGCAGAGGGGGAUGGAAUUCCGCGUGUAGCAGUGAAAUGCGUAGAUAUGCGGAGGAACACCGAUGGCGAAGGCAAUCCCCUGGGCCUGCACUGACGCUCAUGCACGAAAGCGUGGGGAGCAAAUGGGAUUAGAUACCCCCUUAGUCCCUGUCUCUUAUAC